Molecule: long non-coding RNA, 324 nt
Filed under: Gossypium barbadense (sea-island cotton)
Lineage: Eukaryota; Viridiplantae; Streptophyta; Magnoliopsida; Malvales; Malvaceae
Description: long non-coding RNA (GBAR_LNC019610)
Source: RNAcentral
GAGUAAAAGCUUACUCAUGAUAUAUAUCAUCUUUUAGAUAUUUUAACUUUUUCCCAACCACAAUUUUACACAAGAAACGAGAAUUUUCUUUUCCUUUUCAACCCAAUCUUUUUCCAACAACAACGUCAAAACUAAAACUCUACAAAUGCUACUCGAAAUAAUCUAAGCUCGAGAAAUGCUCGACGACAAAGAUCAAAAUGCGCAGCAAAGAUGAAUGCAUGAAUGGAAGCGAUUUAUAAAGUUCUUAUCUAGUAUCUGUAAGAACCAGACUGUGGUGGUGCUGGUGGCAACCUAGUCGGUGUCCUACGGCUGCUGGAGCUUGAA